AACGAACGCUGGCGGCAUGCCUAACACAUGCAAGUCGAACGAGCCCUUCGGGUCUUGUGGCGCACGGGUUCGUAACGCGUGGGAACCUGCCCUUAGGUUCGGAAUAACUCCCCGACAGGGGUGCUAAUACCGGAUAAUGUCUUCGGACCAAAGAUUUAUCGCCUUUGGAUGGGCCCGCGUUGGAUUAGCUAGUUGGUAGGGUAAAAGCCUACCAAGGCGACGAUCCAUAGCUGGUUUGAGAGGAUGAUCAGCCACACUGAGACUGAGACACGGCCCAGACUCCUACGGGAGGCAGCAGUGGGGAAUAUUGGACCAUGGGCGAAAGCCUGAACCAGCAAUGCCGCGUGAGUGAUGAAGGCCUUAUGGUUGUAAAGCUCUUUUACCCGGGAUGAUAAUGACAGUACCGGGAGAAUAAGCUCCGGCUAACUCCGUG
RNAcentral lists this ribosomal RNA (433 nucleotides) under uncultured bacterium. Its description in RNAcentral is "partial 16S ribosomal RNA". It matches the Rfam family "Bacterial small subunit ribosomal RNA", at positions 29 to 507 of the family's 1533-position model. The record is from RNAcentral.